AAAUAUAUUAUCUUCUCCUUCCCAUGCUGUAUCCUGCAAUGUUUAAUUACAGGGGUCAUCUGCUGAUCGGAUUCAGUGGAGAGAACCAACCAGAACAUCUGAUGGCCUGUGCUCACUCUAUGAGGCAGCUUUAUGUCUCUUUGAAGAGGUUUGUAGAAUGGCUUCUGAUUACUCAAGAACAUGUGCUAGCCCAGAUAGCAUUCAGACUGGAGAUGCUCCCAUUGUC
This 226-nucleotide long non-coding RNA is filed under the name Cavia porcellus (domestic guinea pig). Its description in RNAcentral is "lncRNA (ENSCPOG00000037477.1)". Lineage: Eukaryota; Metazoa; Chordata; Mammalia; Rodentia; Caviidae. The record is from RNAcentral.